AUGAAGGUGUGGGGAAUGCAUGACAGAGGUUAUGGCCCAGCCUCUUAUUUUCCUGCUGCUGAAUUGUUUUUGGAAGAAAUGUUCCUCCAUAGAAUUGUACCACUACCUUGGCUUGCACUGAUCUCUGCAGAACUGUUUAAGCUGCUGGAUGAAGAAAGAGUCCCUUGUCUUGAGAUUAUUUCUUGUGUUUGGAUUUUGUGGUUCUCCAAUGUGUGCCAAAAGGAAGAAGAAAUGAGAAAUGAAGUGUUGCUCNCAUACUCACUUUCAGCUUGGCUCUUCGACAACAGGGGCAGUUCAAUGGUCNUUGUGUAUUAUGGUCAGAGAGCAGCUGAAAAGUUCUUAGAAAAAUAAGGAGACCACUGNACCCAUAAAUGCCACGCUGUAUGAGUGUGAAAGCUAUAGGUCCAUGAGCAUCACUUAAACCAAAUACCCAUUUCCAUUCAGAACAGCCAUUUCAUUACCAAAAUGCAGUGACAAGUGUUCCAACGGACUGUGUAAAAAUUAUGCANUGAGAGACUGCCUGAAUCCAGUUGGUGAUUGAUUUCCAGGCUUCCAGUAUGAGCCCACAGUUUCAACGCUAAUAAGGAUGCAAGAUAUCCAGCAUGCGGUGUUUCCUUCUAUGUAAACUUGCUUAGGAUCAUCCUAUACAUUUUAUAGCUUUCUCUGAACACAAAUUAUCUCCCUUUAUUUACCCCAAUAAAUUAAAUAAAGAACAGUAAAGAAACUUCUG
Molecule: long non-coding RNA, 730 nt
Filed under: Salvator merianae (Argentine black and white tegu)
Lineage: Eukaryota; Metazoa; Chordata; Lepidosauria; Squamata; Teiidae
Description: lncRNA (ENSSMRG00000000092.1)
Source: RNAcentral